This 538-nucleotide ribosomal RNA is filed under the name uncultured bacterium. RNAcentral's name for it is "partial 16S ribosomal RNA". It matches the Rfam family "Bacterial small subunit ribosomal RNA", at positions 355 to 883 of the family's 1533-position model. The record is from RNAcentral.
UGGGGAAUUUUGGACAAUGGGCGGAAAGCCUGAUCCAGCAAUGCCGCGUGUGUGAAGAAGGCCUUCGGGUUGUAAAGCACUUUUGUCCGGAAAGAAAUCCUUGGCUCUAAUACAGUCGGGGGAUGACGGUACCGGAAGAAUAAGCACCGGCUAACUACGUGCCAGCAGCCGCGGUAAUACGUAGGGUGCAAGCGUUAAUCGGAAUUACUGGGCGUAAAGCGUGCGCAGGCGGUUUGCUAAGACCGAUGUGAAAUCCCCGGGCUCAACCUGGGAACUGCAUUGGUGACUGGCAGGCUAGAGUAUGGCAGAGGGGGGUAGAAUUCCACGUGUAGCAGUGAAAUGCGUAGAGAUGUGGAGGAAUACCGAUGGCGAAGGCAGCCCCCUGGGCCAAUACUGACGCUCAUGCACGAAAGCGUGGGGAGCAAACAGGAUUAGAUACCCCUGGUAGUCCACGCCCCUAAACGAUGUCAACUAGUUGUUGGGGAUUCAUUUCCUUAGUAACGUAGCUAACGCGUGAAGUUGACCGCCUGGGGAGUAC